Lactuca sativa (garden lettuce) is the source of this 1085-nucleotide non-coding RNA. The record is from RefSeq and is a predicted model, not a curated record. Lineage: Eukaryota; Viridiplantae; Streptophyta; Magnoliopsida; Asterales; Asteraceae.
CAUAUCAAACCCUAGCGAGAACAUUGUGUGUUUAUGUGUGUGUUCGAGUGUGCAGACACAAAGAAAAUAGAGGAAAAAGACCAAGCUGAGAGAGGGAAAAAGAGAGGCUGCCAAGGUCACCGGCCAGAGCUGCCAUCGCCUGAGUUCUUGUAGCUCCGCCAGUUGACGCAAGAGAAAGAGGCGAGGAAGGAGUGAGGUGUCUUAAGAGCUGGAGACCCAUCUUAACUACUUAUGCGAUUUUCAUCCUAUGCGACUACUUCAGAUUUGGUUUCAAGUACUUCGUUUUCAAAAGGAAGGAGCCGGCUCGAUCGCAGCGCAUCAUACUAUGUUUCCGCACAUGAGAUCAUUGGUAUGUCACUCUUAUAUUGUUUUAAGAUAACAUGUUUUGAUUAUUAACACUUUGGUUUUGACAUGAGAUGUUAUUAUGGAUGUUUAUAUACUUAUGGUUUUAUAUUAACUUAUUUAAAAAUGAAAUUUUUGGCCUUGAAUUUUGGGAGGUUACAACUAUUUAGCUCUGAACACAGCCAUAGCAAUUUGCCAUGUUAUGUCCAUUUCUUCAACAUCUUCUGGAUGAAUUUGGUCCAUAUCAACAAAUGACAAUUAAGGGAGCAGCUCACGAGCUAUAAAUGCAUUAUAACAAUUUACAAGACCAGUUGCAAAAGCCAAAUUUUUAGCAUUUUCAUUGGGAGCUGAGUUGGGGCAGGAGCUGAAACAACAACUGGAACAGAUGUCUUUGAAAUGGAAGCAAGUUGCCGGUAGGACAUUGAAGAGUGAGAACUUUGCAUAGAUGGAGUGGCAUAUGAUGAUGGUUGGUAAGCAGCAAAUAGUUGAACUUGAGGAGUGGUGAAAGAUGAAAAGGCAUUGUUGGUUUAAAUUCCCAGAUUCGCAGUGGAGUAUGAAUUGACAUGGUUGAUCUCUCUCUGCUUUUCAUCCAAUUCAUAACCAUUAAUGAUUGCCAUGGUUUCAGCUAAACUUAGACGAUUUAUAUCUUUUGUUUUCUUAAUCACAGCAACAUUGAUAUCCCAAGACCUUGGCAGAGAAUUUAGCAACUUUUUGUUUAUUUCUGACAUAGACACAAAAAUUCU